AAGAGCGGUAGCGACUUCUGGCUACUGCAGUUCGUAAGACUGAAUCAAACGGAACGGUAACCACGAGAGAAAUAUGAUGAUGAAGGAAGACAAGGCUGUUGAAAUGCUGACCAAACGGUGGAUAAUUAUCGACCAGCAUUAAAAACCGAGGCGAGAGGAGGCUGUGACAUGCCAGGAAUAUUUCCUUCUCACGAACCUAAGACCAUUUAUCCCUCUCAUCAGAUGCUGAUGAUGGCAGCGCAACCUGCGUGAUUUCCUGCUGGGCCUGAAUGUUUUUCCUUUCCUAGGAAUUUCCCAGUUUUGCUUCCCCUUAGCUUCCAGCCCAACAGACAGAAUGAUUGAAGAGGGCAGUAGGAGUAAUAAGAUCAUGGUGGAGAAGAGACAGCUCUUCAUGGAGAUGAGGGCACAAAACUUUGAUGUCAUCCGGCUGUCGACAUACAGAACUGCAUGCAAGCUGCGGUUUGUUCAAAAAAGAUGCAAUCUUCACCUCGUGGACGUGUGGAACAUGAUCGAGGCAUUCCGUGACAACGGUCUGAGCACGCUGGACCACAGCGCUGAGAUCAAUGUGUCACGUCUGGAGACCAUCCUCUCCUCUAUCUUCUACCAGCUGAACAAACGCCUACCCACCACCCACCAGAUCAAUGUGGAGCAGUCUAUAGGCCUGCUGCUCAACUUUAUGGUGGCCACCUACGACAGUGAGGGCCAUGGAAAACUCACAGUGUUUUCCAUGAAGUCCAUGCUGGCGACUAUGUGUGGUGGGAAAAUAGUUGACAAAUUACGCUAUAUCUUCUCUCAGAUCUCGGACUCCAGUGGGACGAUGGUGUUCGCUAAAUUUGACCAGUUUCUGAGGGAGGUGUUAAAGCUUCCCACGGCCGUGUUUGAGGGGCCUUCAUUUGGCUACACGGAGCAUUCUGUGCGAACGUGCUUCCCUCAGCAGAAGAAGAUAUUGCUGAACACCUUUCUGGACGUUAUGAUGGCCGAUCCUCCCCCGCAGUGCCUCGUUUGGCUACCUCUCAUGCACCGACUGGCUAAUGUAGAGAACGUCUUCCAUCCGGUGGAAUGCUCGUACUGUCGCAGCGAGAGCAUGAUGGGCUUUCGCUACCGAUGCCAGCAAUGCCACGGUUACCAGCUUUGCCAGAACUGCUUCUGGCGCGGCCAUGCCAGCGGUCCCCAUAGCAACCAGCACCAGAUGAAGGAGCACUCCUCGUGGAAGUCCCCGGCCAAGAAACUGAGCCAUGCUAUCAGUAAGUCUCUGGGUUGCGUUCCCAUGGGAGAACCCCCACACCCUGUGGUCCCCGAGGCAGCUGACAGACCCCAGGAUCCGGUACACCCUCUCACUCUGGAGAGCCCCAGCAGACUGGAUGAGGAGCACCGUCUCAUUGCCCGCUACGCUGCUCGGCUGGCAGCCGAAGCCAGCAACUCUACACAGAGCCCGCCAGCUGACCUGAGCUUCAACUUCGAUGCCAACAAGCAGCAGAGGCAGCUCAUCGCCGAGCUGGAGAACAAAAAUAGGGAGAUCCUACAGGAAAUCCAGCGGCUACGUCUGGAACAUGAGCAAGCGUCUCAGCCCACGCCCGAGAAAGCCCAGCAGAACCCAACUCUCCUGGCAGAGCUACGCCUGCUCCGGCACAGAAAGGACGAGUUGGAGAAGCGCAUGUCGGCUCUGCAGGAGAGCAGGCGUGAGCUGAUGGUGCAGUUAGAAGGUCUCAUGAGGCUUCUGAAGGAUGAAGAGCAGAAGACCGCUCAGUCGGGCGGCUCGCCCCACUCCUCGCCCAGCCACAGUGCCAGCUGCACCAUGCCCAUGCCCAUUCGCUCCACCUCCGCCGGGUCCACACCCACGCACACGCCGCAGGACUGCCUGGCCGGGGUAGGGGAUGACGUGCUGGAUGCUUUCUCUCAGGGUGUACCUAGAAAUCUUCGUAAUGAUCUUUUGGUGGCUGCGGAUUCAAUCACGAAUACCAUGUCUUCACUGGUAAAAGAGCUCCACUCAGUGGAUGACGGUCUGGAGGAUGACGAGGUGAACGUGCGUAACGGACGCGACAAAGGUGAGUCGUUCUCGUCUUCGGCUCACCACCUCACAGAUUCAGCUGUGAGUGUGGAACUAGCACAGGGAGUAAGGACGUGCCAACACAGCUUCUAGUCCGAACCUGUAGAACAGAAGAGCUCACGUCUUUUUCCCACCUGAAAAAAACGCAGCCCUAGAACUGAUGGGAGAAGGUAUUAGAAGAUGGAAUUCAGCUUCCACAUGAACUAAAACAAGCCAAAACAGAGUUAGCACAUCAUCAGCUGUGUUUUAGCUUUCCUUUCUGUCUGUUUUCUAGCUGAGUCUGAGUAAAAGAGUAUGGAAUAUUACAUUGUCAGCGCAGAGGCAUUAUGGGAACAGACACUCCACUCCCUCAUUCUAGACAUCUGGAUGUGACCGGCCAGAACCAGCGACAGCUAAACCCUCUCCUGGUAUUAGCACGUAGAGUAAUGCAUGCUCUUCCCAACAAGGUUUCACUGUGUGAAACAUACACUUCAUCACACUUUACAGAGAGCAAGCUGUAUCUACUAAGAAAAAUAUAAAUAUAUAAAUAUAUAUAGUGCUAUAUGUCUAUCUGUAUAAACCUGUUGUAAUUAUGUAACAAUCUCACUCAUGUCUGCAAAGGAAUGGCUUGUUUGUGCUUUGUCACAUGACCUUUUAUUGAUGACCAGUGUCAGAAAAGCUCUCACUGUGCAGUCGGUGCCAACAUGGCCCGUCCCACUUGCUUUCCUGUGGGUGUCCUCUUCAGAUGAAGAUUUCAUAUCAUUAGUGAUAACUCUUGCGUUGUUUGAGUUUUGCAUGGCGAUUACUGUGGGAGGGGCCUAGUCAUGAACCUGCAUGUAGCGUUUAUUUUUCGCUGAGCUGAGGGAGUGCUCUCUUCCACUCAUCCAGUGGCGUUCUUCACAAACUGCUGCUAGGCCGCUCAAGCCGUGACGAAGCACUGGGUCAGGGUUUUCCCUGCGAGGCAGGUGUUCGGCUUGGGAUCUAUGUGAGGACGCUACGUUUAGCCAGGUGUUGUUAUCGUACGUGCUUAUGUGUAUUAAUUCCACUCUAUUAUUUUGCACACCCCUCAACAGCCUUCCAGUUUGGUCAUUUUGCAUCUCAGCCAUAUGGACCUCCAAACAUCAUCCCAUUAAGAGAAAAUAAACUCUGCUUAAGAAAACAUAAAAGGGUGCUUAAUGGAAUUACGUGGAUAUGUAUGUCUGUAAGCAAAUUUGGGACACGUUAACUGUGAGUGGAGGUGUCAUUCUGUAAAGGUUUGUUCUAUUAUAUUUUGUUUGGUUUUUUUGUUUGUUGUUUGUUGUUCUUCUUUUUUUUGGGGGGGGGGGUAAAAGUAGUACUCUAAAUAAUAAAUAAGUGAAACCAGUGCUCAGGGACUGUGGAGAGAGGUGGAAUGCAGUAGCAGCGCUUGUGAACAAAUGGGUGGAACUGAGUUCAGCCCAACUAGGGUCACAAGUCAAAGAUUAGCCCAGGCCAUAAAACAUUUAUGCAGUCUCCUGAUUGGCUGAUAGUGGUGAACUGUGGUGAGUUGUUGCAAGAGGUUGCUGUUGGACUGUGCUGAGAAGAUAAACCAUGUAAUGGUGAGAUGGAGAAAAUGUUUGGGGUUGUGGGGCCUGAUGGGGAACUAUUUGGAUUAUGUUGGAUUAGUGUUUGGAUGAUGUGGACUAGUGUUUGGAUGAGGUUGGACUGGUGUUUGGAUAAUGCUGGACUAGUGUUUGGAUCAUGGACUAGUGUUUUGCAGUCAACAGCUUUACAGUCAUGAACAAGAAAAGAAUACUACUUGAAUCAGAAAGAAUUCAGGUUGAACAAUUGCAUUAAUCAGAAUAUUAUGAUGUAUAUAGUUGUAUGUUCUGUUUAUCAUAGGUUUGGUUGCAAAUGAUGAGUAAUAUUAUUUAGCAUUUAUAUAAAAAGUUGGAAAUAAGAGUCUAUUAAAUUAUGACUAUGAUAAAACAUGAAUGUUAAGAUUGCAUACAUUGUUUGAAGGACAUGUCUUGAGAUUUUGUGAAUUUAGGUGUAGAAUAUUAAUAUUAUUUAGGAGACCACUUUGUGGGAAACAGCAGAUGGGCACUAGGCAAUUAUUCAUGUAUACUGUACUUCUACAUAAAAGCGUGUAGUUCUGCACUUAGUCUAUAGAAUGCCUAUCACAAACAAUAUGUUCUCAUUUACUGUUAUACACUGUGUAAAUUCAAAUGUCCCCUUGGUAAAAGUGGGUGUAUUUAGUUAUAUUUGUUAUUUUUAUGAUUUUUAUGAUAUAACAUUUGAUUAUAGAUGAAGCUUAAUUUAUUGUUUACAGAAAAUAAAAUAAUUUGACAUUUUAGGUGGGAACUUGAUUCAUUGUCUUGAAACAAAAAAUGUGUAGUGUAUGGCUUCAAAAUUAAAACAAUAAAUCAUUUAUUUUGUCAUUGUUACCGUACCAUAUUAAGUACAAACCCAACCAAACCAUGCUUGAAAGGUGGACAGGAAUGAUCAUGUUCUAACAUUUGCUACAAAUAUGAAUGCAAUCUUAUGAUGUAGGUGUGCCUAGAUGUACUGUAUAAAGUGCUCUAUAAAUAAAAAAAAUAAUUCUGCACAUGUGCAAGGCAGCGCUUAGAUAGGAGUUUUAGUAUGUGACUUUGUAGGAAUGCAAUUAUUUAUCUGUGCUCACUGGAAAAUUCCUUGUUCUGCCUUUAAAUUUGUGCCAAACUGUUUGCCAACUUUCAGUGUGCCCAUACGUCAUUGUUCUGUGUGUUUGUGUUUAACCACAGUCUAUCGAUUAUAAAUUUACCGAGGUAGUCCACUGAGAGAGUUACCAAUAAUGGGGCUGCUUUCAAAGGACGAAACACAAUCCAUGUACAAGUCUGCGAAAUUAACCCUGAGGUCAAUGAUUAACUACUGCUGGACUAUAUUUGUGACCAACUAAAGUGGACCUGUAGUGGCAUCUUGGCCAGUACUUUAAACCAAGCUACUGUACCUUUUUAUGUAUCAUUGUAAUUCUAUACUUUGUUUGCAAGACCAGAUCUUGUCACUUGAAAUUUCAAAAUCUUAAGUCUUAAUUAUUCAUUUUAGGGCUUUGCCACAAUUAAUUGUUCGAUUGCAAUGUUUGACUUUCAUAUUCUCAAAGCCAUGAUUUGUCUCUUUCUGAUGUAUGUCUUUUUUGUAAAUUAUUAAAGGUCAAAUAUGUUAAAAGAUA
Molecule: RNA transcript, 5192 nt
Organism: Electrophorus electricus (electric eel)
Lineage: Eukaryota; Metazoa; Chordata; Actinopteri; Gymnotiformes; Gymnotidae
Gene: dtnbb
Gene name: dystrobrevin, beta b
Source: RefSeq, a predicted model, not a curated record